RNAcentral lists this ribosomal RNA (251 nucleotides) under uncultured prokaryote. RNAcentral describes it as "partial 16S rRNA". It matches the Rfam family "Bacterial small subunit ribosomal RNA", at positions 525 to 775 of the family's 1533-position model. The record is from RNAcentral.
ACGUAGGUGGCAAGCGUUGUCCGGAUUUAUUGGGCGUAAAGCGAGCGCAGGCGGUUUCUUAAGUCUGAUGUGAAAGCCUUCGGCUCAACUGUAGAACUGCAUCUGAAACUGGGAAACUUGAGUAUAGAAGAGGAAAGUGGAAUUCCAUGUGUAGCGGUGAAAUGCGUAGAUAUAUGGAAGAACACCAGUGGCGAAGGCGGCUGUCUGGUCUGUAACUGACGCUGAGGCUCGAAAGCGUGGGUAGCAAACAG